Molecule: ribosomal RNA, 1456 nt
Filed under: uncultured organism
Description: bacterial SSU rRNA
Rfam family: Bacterial small subunit ribosomal RNA
Source: RNAcentral
UCCUGGCUCAGAACGAGCGCGAGCGGCGCGUUUCAGGCAUGCAAGUCGAACGGUACCAGGGGAGCUUGCUCCCGCUGACGAGUGGCGCACGGGUGAGUAACGCGUAGGUAAUCUGUCUUUAGGUACGGGAUAGCUCUACGAAAGUAGGAUUAAUACCGUAUAUAAUGUAUUCAUGAAAGUCUUCGGACGCCUUUAGUUGAGCCUGCGUUAGAUUAGCUUGUUGGUAAGGUAAGAGCUUACCAAGGCGAUGAUCUAUAGCCGAGCUGAGAGGCUGAUCGGCCACAUUGGAACUGAGACACGGUCCAGACUCCUACGGGAGGCAGCAGCUAAGAAUCUUCCGCAAUGGUCGCAAGACUGACGGAGCGACGCCGCGUGAACGAUGAAGGCCCUUCGGGUUGUAAAGUUCUUUUAUAAGAGACGAAUGUUUGAUGCAGGUCAAUCUGACUGUAUCUUAUGAAUAAGGUCCGGCUAACUACGUGCCAGCAGCCGCGGUAAUACGUAGGGACCUAGCGUUGUUCGGAAUUAUUGGGCGUAAAGGGUAUGUAGGCGGUUUAAUAAGUCAGAUGUGAAAUCCUCGGGCUCAACCUGAGGUCUGCGUCUGAUACUGUUAAACUUGAGUUACGGAGAGGAAGACGGAAUUCCCGGUGUAGGGGUGAAAUCUAUAGAUAUCGGGAAGAACACCAGUAGCGAAGGCGGUCUUCUGGGCGUUAACUGACGCUAAUGUACGAAAGGUAGGGUAGCAAACAGGAUUAGAGACCCUGGUAGUCCUACCUGUAAACGUUGUAUACUAGGUGGUGGUUGUAUUGAUCCGAUCACUGCCGCAGCAAACGCAUUAAGUAUACCGCCUGGGGAGUAUGCCGGCAACGGUGAAACUCAAAGGAAUUGACGGGGGCCCGCACAAGCAGUGGAGCAUGUUGUUUAAUUCGAUGAUACGCGAGAAACCUUACCAGGUCUUGACAUAUACUCGAAUACCGUAGAGAUACGGUAGUUCUUCGGAACGGGUAUACAGGUGUUGCAUGGUUGUCGUCAGCUCGUGCCGUGAGGUGUUGGGUUAAGUCCCGCAACGAGCGCAACCCCUAUCCUUUGUUGCUAACAAUUCGGUUGAGCACUCUAAGGAGACUGCCGGUGACAAACCGGAGGAAGGUGGGGACGACGUCAAAUCAUCACGGCCCUUACGACCUGGGCUACAAACGUGCUACAAUGGUCGGUACAAAGAGUUGCGAUACAGCGAUGUUGAGCUAAUCUCAAAAAGCCGUCCUCAGUUCGGAUUGGAGUCUGAAACCCGACUCCAUGAAGCUGGAAUUGCUAGUAAUCGCACAUCAUCAUGGUGCGGUGAAUAUGUUCCCGGGCCUUGUACACACCGCCCGUCACAUCACCCGAAUUGAUUAUACCCGAAGUAUCCGUGCUAACCCUUGUGGAGGCAGGGUCCUAAGGUGUGGUUGGUAAGGGGGAUGAA